Molecule: ribosomal RNA, 253 nt
Filed under: uncultured bacterium
Lineage: Bacteria
Description: partial 16S ribosomal RNA
Rfam family: Bacterial small subunit ribosomal RNA
Source: RNAcentral
GACGUAGGGCGCGAGCGUUGUCCGGAUUUAUUGGGCGUAAAGAGCUCGUAGGCGGCUUGUUGCGUCAGCUGUGAAAACCCGCAGCUCAACUGUGGGCUUGCAGCUGAUACGGGCAGGCUUGAGUUCGGUAGGGGAGACUGGAAUUCCUGGUGUAGCGGUGAAAUGCGUAGAUAUCAAGUGGAACACCAGUGGCGAAGGCGAGUCUCUGGACAUUUCCUGACGCUGAGGCACGAAAGCCAGGGGAGCAAACGGG